This 1057-nucleotide long non-coding RNA is filed under the name Anas platyrhynchos platyrhynchos (common mallard). RNAcentral's name for it is "lncRNA (ENSAPLG00000027202.1)". The record is from RNAcentral. Lineage: Eukaryota; Metazoa; Chordata; Aves; Anseriformes; Anatidae.
GCUAGGAGACCCCUUCUCCUGAAUCCCAGUGGCAGCAUCUCUGCCUGGAUGCUCUCAGGAGCAGUGUAAAGUCCAGAUGUCAGGAGCUGUCUAGCGACCCUUGUCGUCUGAGUUUCCACCAGAAAACAUGAAAAUAGUGAAAAAACAGUGAACAGUGAAAUUAUGUUUUUUUGGCAAGCAUGUCCCUGUGAAGAAACCAUCAGGAGAUUCAGAAUUGUGGCUUCACAGAAUUUUUACAGAGGUGGGGACUUCUUUUACACAUCUUAACUCCUCAAAUAAUGAGAGAGAAAAGAGGAAACAACAACAGCAACAACAACAACAACAACACACACAGAGGAAGAAAAUGAACAAAAAACCAAACAGAACUCACAGCCCAUUCCCUAGCCUUUUCUCUCCUCUCUUUUUUCAGCCUACUGGUGCAGAGAGGAGAGUGGCUUUUUAUUCUGUGCUGUUUUGCAUCUAGUUCUCCACAGGAAGCCUGCCUAAUCUAACAGCUCCCUCCGACUGACUCCAGGCCAGUAGCUGGGUCUUCACAGGAAGAUCAGUGAGCUGUUGAUAAGCCCUGCCGAACUGGACCAUGUUUCAAGAUCAGAGCAAUAUAACUAAGAAACAGCUUUCCAGGAGAACACAACAUAUUUCAAGGAAUAUAAGAACCUCUGGGGUGGAUGCGACUUGCUGUUAUGAAAGAAGCUGUGCACUGAAUUCCUCUGGAGAAAUUACAGAACUGCCAAACUGACAUACAUCCUUACAUCCUCUUCACUAGGAUUAUUAAUAAUGCCGCCAAUGUGAUUAAUCUUAUAUUUUCAAAGAUCCUUUUAAAAACAAGCAUUUAACGCUUGACUGAAAUCAAGAGAGACCUCAGAGUGGGUACAGGGUGGGAUUCAGAGAGAAAGGAGUGUGUGCCAGAUGUGCAACAGUGAAAUGUUUUGCCUUCAGUAUCUCUCUCAAGUGAUGUCCCAGUUGUGUAACUCCCCCAUUCUGCCUCAUUCUUGAGAUUGCAUAUCCUCAGCAGACAUUAAUAAUAAUAAUAAAGAAAUGGUUUCUCUUUCUGUAAACA